UCUUUUAAUAGUAAUAUAUUAUAUUUAUUUUGGUUAUUUUUUAUUUAAUUACUAUCGCACCCGCUGGUUUACCAGUCAUAAAACUCCCGCAAACGCACCCAUUACCAAACGCUCAACCAGUCGUUCAAAACACUUGAUAACGCUUGAAACCGCAACCGCCCGUUUCCGCAAACUCCCGCAACCGCAACCGCACCCGCUGCGUUUAAACCAGUCAGGCCCUUAAUAAUUAUGGUCACUUAGGGCCUGACUAGUUUAAACGCAGCGGGUGCGAUUGCGGUUGCAGGAGUUUGCGGAAACGGGCGGUAGCGGUUUUAAGCGUUAUCAAACGUUUUAAACGACUGGUUGAGCGUUUGAUAAUGGAUGCGUUUGCGGGAGUUUUAUGACUGGUAAACCAGCGGGUGCAAUAUUAAUUAAAUAAAAAAUAACCAAAAUAAAUAUAAUAUAUUACUAUUAAAAGA
Molecule: small RNA, 458 nt
Filed under: Arabidopsis thaliana (thale cress)
Lineage: Eukaryota; Viridiplantae; Streptophyta; Magnoliopsida; Brassicales; Brassicaceae
Description: ATSL011120
Source: RNAcentral